Molecule: long non-coding RNA, 562 nt
Organism: Podarcis raffonei (Aeolian wall lizard)
Lineage: Eukaryota; Metazoa; Chordata; Lepidosauria; Squamata; Lacertidae
Exons: 4
Source: RefSeq, a predicted model, not a curated record
AAACUGCCUCAGUCCCAAACUGGAAGUCAAAAGCUGCCUUACUACAGCUUCAGCAGCAUGUAACUUUUCCUACCUUGCAUAUUUUAACAGCAUAAGUACCUAAACAGUAUUUGUUGGCAUUUAAAUAUACUUAGAUCAUAUUCCAUUUUAGCCUAAUUUAGUUUUGAUCUGCCAAGCAGUCAUUUCCAGAUUGUCAGGAGGAUACGAAGUAUAAGGGAGUCAUUUGAAUAAGGCUACCUUCUGCUGAUCCCACUUUGCCCCAGACAAGCCACAACUCUUUCUGAGGUACCCUGCAUGGGCUCUGGAUUCAUCUGAAUCAAAUGCACAUCCUUACUACUAAGAACUGGAGCUUAUGAGUCACAAGACCCAGGGCAGUAUGCUGUUGUUCUUGUCUGAUCAAACAUUUAAUUGGGCAACAACUCCUGUGAUUUAAGGCAUGGAAAGCCAUCAAACUUGUGGUGGCUUGAUGGAUACAGCAGGUGCCAAGAAGAUCAAGUCUCUUCUGAAUCACUACAGCUGUGAAGCACAUCUCCAAAUGACAUUAAACAUUUUCUUCUCCACA